GAAAUGAACGCUGGCGGCAGGCCUAACACAUGCAAGUCGAGCGGAUGAAGGGAGCUUGCUCCUGGAUUCAGCGGCGGACGGGUGAGUAAUGCCUAGGAAUCUGCCUGGUAGUGGGGGAUAACGUCCGGAAACGGGCGCUAAUACCGCAUACGUCCUGAGGGAGAAAGUGGGGGAUCUUCGGACCUCACGCUAUCAGAUGAGCCUAGGUCGGAUUAGCUAGUUGGUGGGGUAAAGGCCUACCAAGGCGACGAUCCGUAACUGGUCUGAGAGGAUGAUCAGUCACACUGGAACUGAGACACGGUCCAGACUCCUACGGGAGGCAGCAGUGGGGAAUAUUGGACAAUGGGCGAAAGCCUGAUCCAGCCAUGCCGCGUGUGUGAAGAAGGUCUUCGGAUUGUAAAGCACUUUAAGUUGGGAGGAAGGGCAGUAAGUUAAUACCUUGCUGUUUUGACGUUACCAACAGAAUAAGCACCGGCUAACUUCGUGCCAGCAGCCGCGGUAAUACGAAGGGUGCAAGCGUUAAUCGGAAUUACUGGGCGUAAAGCGCGCGUAGGUGGUUCAGCAAGUUGGAUGUGAAAUCCCCGGGCUCAACCUGGGAACUGCAUCCAAAACUACUGAGCUAGAGUACGGUAGAGGGUGGUGGAAUUUCCUGUGUAGCGGUG
This 662-nucleotide ribosomal RNA is filed under the name Pseudomonas sp. EVA7. Its description in RNAcentral is "bacterial SSU rRNA". It matches the Rfam family "Bacterial small subunit ribosomal RNA", at positions 26 to 683 of the family's 1533-position model. The record is from RNAcentral. Lineage: Bacteria; Pseudomonadati; Pseudomonadota; Gammaproteobacteria; Pseudomonadales; Pseudomonadaceae.